GCGGGAGUAGCCAAGCCUGGUCAAAGGCGGCGGACUUAAGAUCCGCUCUCGUAGGAGUCCGCGAGUCCGAACCUCGCCUCCCGCA
This 85-nucleotide transfer RNA is filed under the name Candidatus Thorarchaeota archaeon. Its description in RNAcentral is "tRNA-Leu". It matches the Rfam family "tRNA". Rfam says of the family: Transfer RNA (tRNA) molecules are approximately 80 nucleotides in length. Their secondary structure includes four short double-helical elements and three loops (D, anti-codon, and T loops). The record is from RNAcentral. Lineage: Archaea; Promethearchaeati; Candidatus Thorarchaeota.